This 301-nucleotide ribosomal RNA is filed under the name uncultured bacterium. Its description in RNAcentral is "partial 16S ribosomal RNA". It matches the Rfam family "Bacterial small subunit ribosomal RNA", at positions 509 to 807 of the family's 1533-position model. The record is from RNAcentral.
CAGCAGCCGCGGGAAUACGUAGGGUGCAAGCGUUAAUCGGAAUUACUGGGCGUAAAGCGUGCGCGGGCGGUCUGUUAAGACAGAUGUGAAAUCCCCGGGCUCAACCUGGGAACUGCAUCUGUGACUGGCAAGCUAGAGUAUGGCAGAGUGGGGUGGAAUUCCGCGUGUAGCAGUGAAAUGCGUAGAUAUGCGGAGGAACACCGAUGGCGAAGGCAGCCCCCUGGGCCAAUACUGACGCUCAUGCACGGAAGCGUGGGGAGCAAACAGGAUUAGAUACCCGUGUAGUCCCUGUCUCUUAUAC